This 647-nucleotide ribosomal RNA is filed under the name uncultured microorganism. RNAcentral describes it as "bacterial SSU rRNA". It matches the Rfam family "Bacterial small subunit ribosomal RNA", at positions 61 to 743 of the family's 1533-position model. The record is from RNAcentral.
GUCGAACGAGAAGCCACCUUCGGGUGGUGGACAGUGGCAGACGGGUGAGUAACGCGUGGGAACGUGCCCUUCGGUUCGGGAUAACCCAGGGAAACUUGGGCUAAUACCGGAUACGCCCUUCGGGGGAAAGAUUCAUUGCCGAAAGAUCGGCCCGCGUCGGAUUAGCUAGUUGGUGGGGUAAAAGCCCACCAAGGCGACGAUCCGUAGCUGGUCUGAGAGGAUGACCAGCCACACUGGGACUGAGACACGGCCCAGACUCCUACGGGAGGCAGCAGUGGGGAAUAUUGGACAAUGGGCGCAAGCCUGAUCCAGCCAUGCCGCGUGGGUGAAGAAGGCCUUAGGGUUGUAAACCCCUUUCAGCGGGGAAGAUAAUGACGGUACCCGCAGAAGAAGUCCCGGCUAACUCCGUGCCAGCAGCCGCGGUAAUACGGAGGGGACUAGCGUUGUUCGGAAUUACUGGGCGUAAAGCGCACGUAGGCGGAUUUGUAAGUCAGGGGUGAAAUCCCGAGGCUCAACCUCGGAACUGCCUUUGAUACUGCAAAUCUCGAGUCCGGAAGAGGUGAGUGGAAUUCCUAGUGUAGAGGUGAAAUUCGUAGAUAUUAGGAAGAACACCAGUGGCGAAGGCGGCUCACUUGGUCCGGUACUGA